AGUAGAUGAGGGGAAAGCGGUGGAUGUUGUGUAGCUUGACUUCAGCAACUCAAGUGUGCUGUCUUCCACAAUAUCCACCCUCAGACUUUCAAAUUCAGCCUGGAUUUAAAGUGUUGUGGGCACAGUUUGGUAUGCAAGCUAGAAAUGUGAUGGCCUCCGAAUGCAGAAGACAGCAGACCAUCUUGGGGCUACUGAAGCAGUUUGCUAUGAGGCUAAGCUGUCAUCGCUGCCAAAUGCACUGGGCUUAUGCAAGAUGAAGAAUUUCUUAGAGAAGAACAAAUUCAUCCUGGUAUUAACAGCUCCUAUAAUUGAGGAAAUUGAAAGCAUCUGAAAUAAAGAUGAACAAAUCAGAUGUCUACCAUUUAUCACACGUAGUGAACACCUAAGUCUUCACAGCUUUUUUUCUACAAAAAAUUUGCUUCUAUAAUCUGUGAUGUCAAUCCACAAAUUGGAAAUCCCAUACUGCAGUAUUUCCUCUCCUAUGUGAGACAAUGCACAGGAUGUUCUUUCUGUUUUUCUGCUCUUUUUACCCUCCCACUUCCAUUAUUUAUUUCCUUAUUGUAUUUCUCUGUUGACUCACUGAUCCUGUUUUCCACUGCAAAACAUUGACUUUAUAACCAUGUCUUUUGAGUCACUGGUUUGAAUGGGUCAAAUUUUCAGCUGAGACAAAUAAAAA
Numida meleagris (helmeted guineafowl) is the source of this 676-nucleotide long non-coding RNA. RefSeq lists it as uncharacterized. NCBI's taxonomy places the organism in Eukaryota, Metazoa, Chordata, Aves, Galliformes, Numididae. The transcript has 3 exons. The record is from RefSeq and is a predicted model, not a curated record.